GACGAACGCUGGCGGCGUGCUUAACACAUGCAAGUCGAACGGACAGGCCAUGCUUUUGUGGGGUGCUCGUGUGGCGAACGGGUGAGUAUAACGUGAGUAACAUGUACUUGACUUUGGGAUAACUUCAGGAAAAUGGGGCUAAUACAGGAUAGGAGAUCCUGAUGCAUGUUGGGGGAUGGAAAGUUUCGGCGGUUGGGGCUGGAGUAGCGGCAUAGCAGCUUGUUGGUGGGGUAGUGGCUUACAAAGGCUUUGACGGGUAGCCGGCCUGAGAGGGUGACCGGCCACAGUGGGACUGAGAUACGACCCAGAGGCCUACGGGAGGCAUCGGCGAGGAAUUUACCACAAAGCGCGGAAUCAGGAAGCAGGAACUCCGCGUGGGAAAUGACGGCCUUCGGGUUGUAACCCAUUUUCACCUAAGACGAAACAUGAGGGACGUAAAUAGUAAAAAAGCACCGGCUAACUACGUG
This 467-nucleotide ribosomal RNA is filed under the name uncultured bacterium. RNAcentral describes it as "partial 16S ribosomal RNA". It matches the Rfam family "Bacterial small subunit ribosomal RNA", at positions 28 to 507 of the family's 1533-position model. The record is from RNAcentral.